AUGCCAUGAUGAGGGUACUUUCGUAAUAACUCCUUGAACUGCUCCCAUGCCUCAUAUAAAGAUUCUUCAUCAAGUUGAUGAAGUGAUUUCAUUUCGGAUCAU
Non-coding RNA from Gossypium hirsutum (cotton), 102 nucleotides. Lineage: Eukaryota; Viridiplantae; Streptophyta; Magnoliopsida; Malvales; Malvaceae. The record is from Rfam.